AUGCCAGCCGCUGCAUCGUCUCUGCAUCGAGCGCCGCUCGACCCCGCGUUGGCCCGUCGACCGCGCCCUCGUCCCUGGAUCCGGCUCCUUCGUCCGCCCUCGCCGGAGAGCGCGCCAAGUCCACCGCCGUCGCCAAGUCCGGCCGCGACCGUCGCCCCCUGCAUCCUCUGCUUCGUCUCGACCGCGCCCCUGCCUCGCGUUGACUCGCACAGCGCCCGCGCCUGGGCCACCGCUGUUUCGGUCCAGCGGCCCCCUCCGUUGCGCCAGGCCCAGUGCGCCCAAGGCCUCCUCUGUAGAUGGGCCAAGGCCCGCUGGCUUCGGUUUCAUUCCGGAGUUGUGAGGAUUCGUUCGACUACAUCCGUUUCUCUUCUUCAUGGACUCGCUCUUCUUCCUAGCGGGAUCUCAGGCAAGAUGACCACCCCUCGAAAUCACUUCUAUCUUUGCUUUGCUAGUUGUUCACUCUAUUGCCAUGCUGCACUACCUAUCACUUGCUAUAUCAUGUCUCCCAUAUUGCCAUGUCAGCCUCUAACCAUCCUUUCCUAG
Molecule: ribosomal RNA, 543 nt
Filed under: Triticum aestivum (bread wheat)
Lineage: Eukaryota; Viridiplantae; Streptophyta; Magnoliopsida; Poales; Poaceae
Description: partial small subunit ribosomal RNA
Source: RNAcentral